RNAcentral lists this RNase P RNA (239 nucleotides) under Sphingobacterium sp. RNAcentral's name for it is "partial RNase P RNA component class A". It matches the Rfam family "Bacterial RNase P class A", at positions 1 to 247 of the family's 367-position model. From Rfam's summary of the family: Ribonuclease P (RNase P) is a ubiquitous endoribonuclease, found in archaea, bacteria and eukarya as well as chloroplasts and mitochondria. Its best characterised activity is the generation of mature 5'-ends of tRNAs by cleaving the 5'-leader elements of precursor-tRNAs. Lineage: Bacteria; Pseudomonadati; Bacteroidota; Sphingobacteriia; Sphingobacteriales; Sphingobacteriaceae. The record is from RNAcentral.
GAAGCAAACUGGUUCUAUCGCUGCUCUUUUUUAAGAGGAGAGGAAAGUCCGGGCAACAUAGAGCAACACGCUUCCUAACGGGAAGGCUGUUAUGAAAAUAGCAGACAGAAAGUGCCACAGAAAAUAUACCGCUUUUCGGAGUAAGGGUGAAAACGUAAGGUAAGAGCUUACGGUCUUGUAUGGUGACAUAUAUUACGGUAAACCUCGUGUGUUGAAAGACCAAAUAGGUUGCGAAAUUC